GCAGCCGAUCCCGGCCAAGUAGCCCCCCAACCCGGUCC
This 38-nucleotide non-coding RNA is filed under the name Vibrio phage 1.024.O._10N.261.45.F8. Lineage: Duplodnaviria; Heunggongvirae; Uroviricota; Caudoviricetes. The record is from RNAcentral.